AUAUUUUAGAAUUCGGUGACCUUCAAUGAUGUGCAUGUGAAAUUCAGCCAAGAAGAGUGGGCCUUGCUGGAACCUUCCCAGAAGCAACUCUACAAAGAUGUGAUGCUAGAGACCUGUGAAAACCUCACUGCUAUAGACUACAAUUGGGAUGACCAUAAUAUUGAAGAAUAAUUUCAAAGUUCUACAAGUAAUGAAAGAGUUGCACACCCUGAACCUGACUGUCCACCUCAUCAUGGGAAUGAGAAUUUCCACAGAGGAGCCGUGUCUACACAGUCUGACUGACCGACCAGAACUGGAGUGAUGUGGAGACAUUGGUGUAUCCAGAGUCUGAUAACAAUUUGUCUUGGGCCAUCUUUAGACCCUGUUGGCCAUUCCUUGCCAGCCAUUUUU
This is a long non-coding RNA of Meriones unguiculatus (Mongolian gerbil), 390 nucleotides long. RefSeq lists it as uncharacterized. Lineage: Eukaryota; Metazoa; Chordata; Mammalia; Rodentia; Muridae. The transcript has 3 exons. The record is from RefSeq and is a predicted model, not a curated record.